Molecule: long non-coding RNA, 648 nt
Organism: Alosa sapidissima (American shad)
Lineage: Eukaryota; Metazoa; Chordata; Actinopteri; Clupeiformes; Clupeidae
Exons: 4
Source: RefSeq, a predicted model, not a curated record
UGAUUUGCCCCUGUGGUUCUUCCUCUGUCAUUGUGGUGUUUGAUGGUGCUGGUGGCCUAUUGAAGACUCCCAGUCCCCUGGGAGCUGGACGGGAGCGAGAGAUGGGCUCACAGUAGCGCCACUGAGGCCUGGAGAUGACCCAGCAAUAAUGAUAAGCUGGGGAAAGCUCAAGCCAGGACAUGACAAGGCACUUUUAUGUUCACAGAUGGAGUACAUGUGAAUGCCAUACUCAAGGACACGAUGGGAAGAAGGAGGAGGUGGUAUUGCUAACCUUUGGUGAUGUGCACCAUCAACAAACCAUCACUGCCUCCAGCUCUCACGCCCCCACAGACAGUAGGGAUUGGACAUGGCAGAGAAAGAGAAAAGAAUGACCUAUCCAGGAUGUUGUCCAUGGGACUAGGAAAUACUAAGAGAGAGGGAGAACCAUUGCCCCAUCAUCCAUUCCUAAUGGGCAAAUGUGGUCAUACAUCAAACUGCUUGCUUCUCCAUGCUGGCCAGGGGGAAGAGAGGAAUGAGAAAGCAACAGCAUCCUGCCUUGCUACAGCUCCAAGGCACUGGCCACACUAAAGCACUCACCAACCAUGAACAGAGCCCCAGAGGCCCCAUCCGACUUGAAUCAGUCGCUCUGAAAAAUAGAUAUGUGGAGAG